Molecule: long non-coding RNA, 1355 nt
Organism: Zea mays
Lineage: Eukaryota; Viridiplantae; Streptophyta; Magnoliopsida; Poales; Poaceae
Exons: 1
Source: RefSeq, marked validated
CUCCAUUUUCCUUACGCACCUUAUCUUCCUUAUCCUCUCCAGCCGCGCGUGCCCAGGUGCACUCGUUUCUCUCUGCCUCUCGCGCUGGGCUCCCGGUCUUGCCGGCGGCCAAGUUCUCCAGCCAAGCUCCUCCCUGCGGCAGCCACCACAUGGGCGCUCAUCUCCCUACUCCAUGGCGGCACCUCCUACUCCGUGGUAGCGAGCUCGCCCCUGUAUUCCUGCUCGCCCAGCCCUCCUCUGCUGAUAGCCGGUGGCCGCCGACGUCGAUUUCAGCUCCCUGGACGUGCGCCCCUGAUCCCCAUGUCCCAGCUCCUCCCCACCUCCUAGAUGGUCGGCGCCAUCCCCAGCGCUCCCUGCUCCAGCACGUCUCCAUGGCCGUCAAGUCCCUCCCAUGGUCGAGCACGUCCCUGCGUUCCGAUGUUGGACACCGGACUGCGCUGCUCGUCCUCAACCUCGCUGAUGCUAUUUUCCUGGUGCAUGUCCUCGCCCUAGGCCAUUGAACAACAACAGCCAUGAAGCCCUUCGUGUCGCGCCCUCGACGUGUUCGACAGAAUAUUACAGUGUGCUACACCCGAUCUGUGCAGCCCUAUCGCGACCUCGUCGAACCCCGAUGAGGACCCGUUUUCCCUAUGUUCAUUCCUCGCCAGUACUAAUACCCAAAAUCAAGUUAUUAGAUGCUAAUGUAUGUAUAUGUGUGUGUGCAAUGUGCGAGAUGUGAGGAAUUUCAUAUUGGUGAGGCCAGGCAAGCCGUGCGACAAGUGCUAGAUGUUCGAUGAAAUGAUUGAAUCGGAGAGUGUCACUGUUUGUGUGGAUUAUCAAGUUAGGCAAAUAACAGUGAGCCAAAUCAUUAUUUCAGAUAGUGGUUGAUAGAUGAAUUGAGUAGUGUUGGGGGUCUUUUUCUCCGCCGAAGGUUCCCUAAGCAAAAACACCUUCGGCAAGACAGUACAAAGGCAGGUGCGACUUGAAGAUAUAAGCCAAAGAUGAUGCGGACAAAGUCGAAGCUACGAUUGAAAGGGCUUCGGCUUGGUAUUAUGUUAAAGGUGAAGCACGAUACCGAUUUAAAGAGGAAAAGACUGUAUAGCCCUAGAUAGUCUGUAUUAUGAUCAUAAUUAUUUAUCAGGGACAUUGAUUUAAUUUCGUCCGGGUUGCGUCACAUGCCUAUAAAUAGAUGAACAGUACCUCUGUACUAUUCACGUUGCAUUGUUAUCACUCCCGCGUCCCCCACAUUAUCACAUUCUGUCGAGCCGAAGGUAUCAAUAAAAUACAAAUACUAUGAGCAUUUAUCCAUGUUUGUAAAAUGAAAUGAGAAUGUAAAUGAUCUAUCUCUAUGUUGUCAAUAUUUACAUUCUUAUAUC